RNAcentral lists this ribosomal RNA (253 nucleotides) under uncultured bacterium. RNAcentral's name for it is "partial 16S ribosomal RNA". It matches the Rfam family "Bacterial small subunit ribosomal RNA", at positions 524 to 776 of the family's 1533-position model. The record is from RNAcentral.
UACGUAGGUGGCAAGCGUUGUCCGGAUUUAUUGGGCCUAAAGCAUCCGUAGCCGGUUCUACAAGUCUUCCGUUAAAUCCACCUGCUUAACAGAUGGGCUGCGGAAGAUACUAUAGAGCUAGGAGGCGGGAGAGGCAAGCGGUACUCGAUGGGUAGGGGUAAAAUCCGUUGAUCCAUUGAAGACCACCAGUGGCGAAGGCGGCUUGCCAGAACGCGCUCGACGGUGAGGGAUGAAAGCUGGGGGAGCAAACCGG